CGUACACUCCUACGGGAGGCAGCAGUGGGGAAUAUUACACAAUGGGCGCAAGCCUGAUGCAGCCAUGCCGCGUGUAUGAAGAAGGCCUUCGGGUUGUAAAGUACUUUCAGCGGGGAGGAAGGCGAUAAGGUUAAUAACCUUGUCGAUUGACGUUACCCGCAGAAGAAGCACCGGCUAACUCCGUGCCAGCAGCCGCGGUAAUACGGAGGGUGCAAGCGUUAAUCGGAAUUACUGGGCGUAAAGCGCACGCAGGCGGUCUGUCAAGUCGGAUGUGAAAUCCCCAGGCUCAACCUGGGAACUGCAUUCGAAACUGGCAGGCUAGAGUCUUGUAGAGGGGGGUAGAAUUCCAGGUGUAGCGGUGAAAUGCGUAGAGAUCUGGAGGAAUACCGGUGGCGAAGGCGGCCCCCUGGACAAAGACUGACGCUCAGGUGCGAAAGCGUGGGGAGCAAACAGGAUUAGAAACCCCAGUAGUCCCAUGAU
RNAcentral lists this ribosomal RNA (480 nucleotides) under uncultured organism. Its description in RNAcentral is "partial 16S ribosomal RNA". It matches the Rfam family "Bacterial small subunit ribosomal RNA", at positions 330 to 801 of the family's 1533-position model. The record is from RNAcentral.